UACGUAGGGGGCAAGCGUUGUCCGGAUUCAUUGGGCGUAAAGAGCUCGUAGGCGGCUUGGCAAGUCGGGUGUGAAACCUCCAGGCUCAACCUGGAGACGCCACCCGAUACUGCCAUGGCUAGAGUCCGGUAGGGGACCACGGAAUUCCUGGUGUAGCGGUGAAAUGCGCAGAUAUCAGGAGGAACACCGGUGGCGAAGGCGGCUUUCUGGACAGAAACUGACGCUGAGGCGCGAAAGCUAGGGGAGCAAACAGG
RNAcentral lists this ribosomal RNA (254 nucleotides) under uncultured bacterium. Its description in RNAcentral is "partial 16S ribosomal RNA". It matches the Rfam family "Bacterial small subunit ribosomal RNA", at positions 524 to 776 of the family's 1533-position model. The record is from RNAcentral.